CAUGAGUUUUGCUUGCUCAACACAGUGGGGCAGCCAUAGACUCUCCCUCUCCUACUGAAAAAGAGACAGUGCCGGUUGAUAUAUUAUUGAUUAUAUAUUUUUAAAACAAGCUGAGGAUUGAUUAUGAAAAACGUUUGACAUGUUUCUGUGGACAUUACGGAUACUAUUUGGAAUUUUCAUCUGUGUUGUCAUGACCGCUCGAGCCUGUGGAUUUCUGAAUAUAACGCGCCAAACAAACAGAAGUAUUUUGGAUAUAAAAUAAUCUUUACGGAACUAAAGGAACAUUUAUUGUGUAACUGGGAGUCUCGUGAGUGCAAACAUCUGAAGAUCAUCAAAGAUAAUGGGGCCGGCUAUAGGGUUAGCCCUGACAUCCAUCUGCUUCCAAUUCACUGUCGUCAAGACCGGCUCUCUUGCUCGCUAGAUAUCCCACCCAUUCCAUGUUCUAGUGUGAGCUGAUCAAGGGGUCGAAAAUGUAGAUAUUGCCAGAUGUUCACUGUCCGAGGAACCGGCCGUGGAGCUUUAUUUUUGGCACAAGUGUCCAUAACCAGAGGUUAUAUCAGCUGUGUUGGUGAACCCCUCCCGUAUCUGAACUGGUUGACACAGAGAGCACAGCAUGAUCAUAGGUAUGUUUUGAUGUGAGAGAGGAAGCCAGUCCAAUCAUCGCCACCUCACCCGCUCUUAAGAUAACCUUCAGGCCCACUGAGAAUAUUAGGCCAAACGUGAUGAACAAAACGGAGCGAUUUCUCCUACACAAAUAAUCUUUUUGGAAAAACUGAACAUUUGCUAUCUAACUGAGUGUCUCCUCAUUGAAAACAUCUGAAGUUCUUCAAAG
Oncorhynchus tshawytscha (Chinook salmon) is the source of this 832-nucleotide long non-coding RNA. The record is from Ensembl. Lineage: Eukaryota; Metazoa; Chordata; Actinopteri; Salmoniformes; Salmonidae.